Molecule: ribosomal RNA, 253 nt
Filed under: uncultured bacterium
Lineage: Bacteria
Description: partial 16S ribosomal RNA
Rfam family: Bacterial small subunit ribosomal RNA
Source: RNAcentral
UACGUGGGGUGCAAGCGUUGUUCGGAAUUACUGGGCGUAAAGGGCUCGUAGGCGGCCAACUAAGUCAGACGUGAAAUCCCUCGGCUUAACCGGGGAACUGCGUCUGAUACUGGUUGGCUUGAAUCCGGGAGAGGGAUGUGGAAUUCCAGGUGUAGCGGUGAAAUGCGUAGAUAUCUGGAGGAACACCGGUGGCGAAGGCGGCAUCCUGGACCGGUAUUGACGCUGAGGAGCGAGAGCCAGGGGAGCAAACGGG